UACGAAGGGUGCAAGCGUUACUCGGAAUUACUGGGCGUAAAGCGUGCGUAGGUGGUUUGUUAAGUCUGAUGUGAAAGCCCUGGGCUCAACCUGGGAACUGCAUUGGAAACUGGCUGACUAGAGUGCGGUAGAGGGGUGUGGAAUUCCCGGUGUAGCAGUGAAAUGCGUAGAUAUCGGGAGGAACAUCUGUGGCGAAGGCGACACCCUGGACCAGCACUGACACUGAGGCACGAAAGCGUGGGGAGCAAAC
RNAcentral lists this ribosomal RNA (250 nucleotides) under uncultured bacterium. RNAcentral describes it as "partial 16S ribosomal RNA". It matches the Rfam family "Bacterial small subunit ribosomal RNA", at positions 524 to 773 of the family's 1533-position model. The record is from RNAcentral.